UGAGGAAUAUUGCACAAUGGGCGCAAGCCUGAUGCAGCAACGCCGCGUGAGGGACGAAGGCCUUCGGGUCGUAAACCUCUUUUCUGGGGGACGAGUAAGGACGGUACCCCAGGAAUAAGUCUCGGCUAACUACGUGCCAGCAGCCGCGGUAAAACGUAGGAGGCGAGCGUUAUCCGGAUUUACUGGGCGUAAAGCGUACGCAGGUGGCUUCGUGAGUCGGACAUGAAAGCUCCUGGCUUAACUGGGAGAGGUUGUUCGAUACUGCGGGGCUUGGGGUUGGGAGAGGGACGUGGAAUUCCCGGUGUAGUGGUGGAAUGCGUAGAUAUCGGGAGGAACACCAGUGGCGCAAGCGGCGUCCUGGCCCACACCUGACGCUGAGGUACGAAAGCGUGGGUAGCAAACAG
Molecule: ribosomal RNA, 404 nt
Filed under: uncultured bacterium
Lineage: Bacteria
Description: bacterial SSU rRNA
Rfam family: Bacterial small subunit ribosomal RNA
Source: RNAcentral